This 367-nucleotide ribosomal RNA is filed under the name uncultured organism. RNAcentral describes it as "bacterial LSU rRNA". It matches the Rfam family "Bacterial large subunit ribosomal RNA", at positions 2099 to 2465 of the family's 2925-position model. The record is from RNAcentral.
CUUUACUGAACCUGGUAUUGGGUUCGGGCUUUGACUGCGCAGGAUAGGUGGGAGACUAUGAAGCAAUCCUUGUGGGGAUUGUGGAGUCAACAGUGAGAUACCACUCUGUCAGAGCUAGAAUUCUAACCUUCACCCGUUAUCCGGGGAAGGAACCGUAUCAGGCGGGCAGUUUGACUGGGGCGGUCGCCUCCUAAAUGGUAACGGAGGCGCGCAAAGGUUUCCUCAGGCUGGUUGGAAAUCAGCCGAAGAGUGUAAAGGCAGAAGAACGCUUGACUGUGAGAGUGACAACUCGAGCAGGGUGGAAACACGGCCUUAGUGAUCCGACGGCUUGUGCGUGGAAAUGCCGUCGCUCAACGGAUAAAAGUUA